Molecule: ribosomal RNA, 486 nt
Filed under: uncultured bacterium
Lineage: Bacteria
Description: bacterial SSU rRNA
Rfam family: Bacterial small subunit ribosomal RNA
Source: RNAcentral
GAUGAACGCUAGCUACAGGCUUAACACAUGCAAGUCGAGGGGAAACGAUAUUGGAAGCUUGCUUCCGAUAGGCGUCGACCGGCGCACGGGUGAGUAACGCGUAUCCAACCUGCCCACACUUGGGGAUAACCUUGCGAAAGUAAGACUAAUACCCGAUGAUAUCCCUAGAAGACAUCUGAAAGGGNUUAAAGAUUUAUCGGUGAUGGAUGGGGAUGCGUCUGAUUAGCUUGUUGGCGGGGUAACGGCCCACCAAGGCAACGAUCAGUAGGGGUUCUGAGAGGAAGGUCCCCCACAUUGGAACUGAGACACGGUCCAAAACUCCUACGGGAGGCAGCAGUGAGGAAUAUUGGUCAAUGGACGAGAGUCUGAACCAGCCAAGUAGCGUGCAGGAUGACGGCCCUAUGGGUUGUAAACUGCUUUUAUAAGGGAAUAAAGUGGGUCACGUGUGACUUUUUUGCAUGUACCUUAUGAAUAAGGACCGGCUAA